RNAcentral lists this ribosomal RNA (449 nucleotides) under uncultured bacterium. RNAcentral's name for it is "partial 16S ribosomal RNA". It matches the Rfam family "Bacterial small subunit ribosomal RNA", at positions 29 to 523 of the family's 1533-position model. The record is from RNAcentral.
AACGAGCGCUGGCGGCAUGCCUAACACAUGCAAGUCGAACGAGAUCUUCGGGUCUAGUGGCGCACGGGUGCGUAACGCGUGGGAAUCUGCCCUUUGGUUCGGAAUAACAGUUGGAAACGACUGCUAAUACCGGAUGAUGACGAAAGUCCAAAGAUUUAUCGCCAGAGGAUGGGCCCGCGUAGGAUUAGCUAGUUGGUGUGGUAAAGGAGCACCAAGGCGACGAGCCUUAGCUGGUCUGAGAGGAUGAUCAGCCACACUGGGACUGAGACCCGGCCCAGAGUCCUACGGGAGGCAGCAGUGGGGAAUAUUGGACAAUGGGGGCAACCCUGAUCCGUCCAUGCCGCGUGAGUGAAGAAGGCCUUCGGGUUGUAAAGCUCUUUCGACUGGUACGAUGAUGACGGUACCCGUAUAAGAAGCCCCGGCUAACUUCGUGCCAGCCGCCGCAGUAA